This 381-nucleotide ribosomal RNA is filed under the name uncultured archaeon. RNAcentral describes it as "bacterial SSU rRNA". It matches the Rfam family "Archaeal small subunit ribosomal RNA", at positions 345 to 727 of the family's 1478-position model. The record is from RNAcentral.
AAACUUUACAAUGCGCGAAAGCGUGAUAAGGGUAUCCCAAGUGCUUACCUUUAAGGUGAGCUUUUGCCAAGCGUAAAUACCUUGGCGAAUAAGGGGUGGGUAAGAACGGUGCCAGCCGCCGCGGUAACACCGGCGCCCCAAGUGGUGUUCAUAAUUAUUGGGUCUAAAGCGUCUGUAGCCGACUUAGAAAGUCCUUUGUGAAAUUGUUGGGCUUAACUUAACAACGUGCAAGGGAUACUACUAAGUUAGGGACCGGGAGGGGGUAGGAGAACGCCUUGGGAAGCGGUAAAAUGCUUUAAUCCUUGGCGGACUACCUAUGGCGAAGGCACCUACCUAGAACGGGUCCGACGGUGAGAGACGAAAGCUAGGGGAGCGAACGGG